AUGGAAGAUACUUUGGAUCACCAGGAAUACUUUAGAGAUUAUUGUUUGUCUCAAAAAGGAAAACAUUUAUGGGAUCAAAUUAAAAUAUUGCGUUGGUAUGCUUGGAAUAUGUGCUCUAUGUAUGAUUAUACUUGUUACUCUAACAUGGAGGCUCCACACCUUUCCUUUCAAUGUGAAUUUAAUGAUAAUGAAAUAUUGGCUUCUUAUGCUAAUGGUGUAUAUGAUUACUAUAAUGUGAAACAAAUAGAAGAAUUUGUUGCUUUUAAAUGUGCUUAUGAAAUUGAAUCUUUGUUUGAAAAGUAUGAAGAUUAUGAUGAUGCUCUUUAUAAAUCUGAAAAUUAUGUUAUACUUAAAUAUUGA
RNAcentral lists this ribosomal RNA (360 nucleotides) under Triticum aestivum (bread wheat). RNAcentral describes it as "partial small subunit ribosomal RNA". Lineage: Eukaryota; Viridiplantae; Streptophyta; Magnoliopsida; Poales; Poaceae. The record is from RNAcentral.